UGCAGUCGAACGAUGAAGCCCAGCUUGCUGGGUGGAUUAGUGGCGAACGGGUGAGUAACACGUGAGUAACCUGCCCUUGACUCUGGGAUAAGCGUUGGAAACGACGUCUAAUACCGGAUACGAGCUUCCACCGCAUGGUGAGUUGCUGGAAAGAAUUUUGGUCAAGGAUGGACUCGCGGCCUAUCAGCUUGUUGGUGAGGUAACGGCUCACCAAGGCGACGACGGGUAGCCGGCCUGAGAGGGUGACCGGCCACACUGGGACUGAGACACGGCCCAGACUCCUACGGGAGGCAGCAGUGGGGAAUAUUGCACAAUGGGCGAAAGCCUGAUGCAGCAACGCCGCGUGAGGGACGACGGCCUUCGGGUUGUAAACCUCUUUUAGCAGGGAAGAAGCGAAAGUGACGGUACCUGCAGAAAAAGCACCGGCUAACUACGUGCCAGCAGCCGCGGUAAUACGUAGGGUGCAAGCGUUGUCCGGAAUUAUUGGGCGUAAAGAGCUCGUAGGCGGUUUGUCGCGUCUGCUGUGAAAUCCCGAGGCUCAACCUCGGGUCUGCAGUGGGUACGGGCAGACUAGAGUGCGGUAGGGGAGAUUGGAAUUCCUGGUGUAGCGGUGGAAUGCGCAGAUAUCAGGAGGAACACCGAUGGCGAAGGCAGAUCUCUGGGCCGCUACUGACGCUGAGGAGCGAAAGGGUGGGGAGCAAACAGGCUUAGAUACCCUGGUAGUCCACCCCGUAAACGUUGGGCGCUAGAUGUGGGGACCAUUCCACGGUUUCCGUGUCGUAGCUAACGCAUUAAGCGCCCCGCCUGGGGAGUACGGCCGCAAGGCUAAAACUCAAAGGAAUUGACGGGGGCCCGCACAAGCGGCGGAGCAUGCGGAUUAAUUCGAUGCAACGCGAAGAACCUUACCAAGGCUUGACAUAUACGAGAACGGGCCAGAAAUGGUCAACUCUUUGGACACUCGUAAACAGGUGGUGCAUGGUUGUCGUCAGCUCGUGUCGUGAGAUGUUGGGUUAAGUCCCGCAACGAGCGCAACCCUCGUUCUAUGUUGCCAGCACGUAAUGGUGGGAACUCAUGGGAUACUGCCGGGGUCAACUCGGAGGAAGGUGGGGACGACGUCAAAUCAUCAUGCCCCUUAUGUCUUGGGCUUCACGCAUGCUACAAUGGCCAGUACAAAGGGCUGCAAUACCGUAAGGUGGAGCGAAUCCCAAAAAGCUGGUCCCAGUUCGGAUUGAGGUCUGCAACUCGACCUCAUGAAGUCGGAGUCGCUAGUAAUCGCAGAUCAGCAACGCUGCGGUGAAUACGUUCCCGGGCCUUGUACACACCGCCCGUCAAGUCAUGAAAGUCGGUAACACCCGAAGCCAGUGGCCUAACCGCAAGGA
RNAcentral lists this ribosomal RNA (1379 nucleotides) under Plantibacter cousiniae (nom. nud.). RNAcentral describes it as "bacterial SSU rRNA". It matches the Rfam family "Bacterial small subunit ribosomal RNA". The record is from RNAcentral. Lineage: Bacteria; Bacillati; Actinomycetota; Actinomycetes; Micrococcales; Microbacteriaceae.